RNAcentral lists this ribosomal RNA (252 nucleotides) under uncultured bacterium. Its description in RNAcentral is "partial 16S ribosomal RNA". It matches the Rfam family "Bacterial small subunit ribosomal RNA", at positions 524 to 776 of the family's 1533-position model. The record is from RNAcentral.
UACGGGGGAGCAAGCGUUGUUCGGAUUUACUGGGCGUAAAGGGCGCGUAGGCGGUAGCACAAGUCAGUUGUGAAAUCUCCGGGCUUAACUCGGAAAGGUCAACUGAUACUGUGCGACUAGAGUGCAGAAGGGGCAACUGGAAUUCUCGGUGUAGCGGUGAAAUGCGUAGAUAUCGAGAGGAACACCUGCGGCGAAGGCGGGUUGCUGGGCUGACACUGACGCUGAGGCGCGAAAGCCAGGGGAGCGAACGGG